RNAcentral lists this non-coding RNA (29 nucleotides) under Mus musculus (house mouse). Lineage: Eukaryota; Metazoa; Chordata; Mammalia; Rodentia; Muridae. The record is from RNAcentral.
CUCUCAGAAACAGAACUGUAAUGGAGAUU